GUGGCUCAGUGGUUAAGAGCACUGACUGCCGUUCCAGAGGACCUGGGUUCAAUACCCAGC
This 60-nucleotide transfer RNA is filed under the name Cricetulus griseus (Chinese hamster). It matches the Rfam family "tRNA", at positions 7 to 64 of the family's 71-position model. From Rfam's summary of the family: Transfer RNA (tRNA) molecules are approximately 80 nucleotides in length. Their secondary structure includes four short double-helical elements and three loops (D, anti-codon, and T loops). Lineage: Eukaryota; Metazoa; Chordata; Mammalia; Rodentia; Cricetidae. The record is from Rfam by way of RNAcentral.